This 1343-nucleotide ribosomal RNA is filed under the name uncultured bacterium. Its description in RNAcentral is "16S ribosomal RNA". It matches the Rfam family "Bacterial small subunit ribosomal RNA", at positions 28 to 1378 of the family's 1533-position model. The record is from RNAcentral.
GACGAACGCUGGUGGCGUGCUUAACACAUGCAAGUCGAACGGAAAGGCCCUGCUUUUGUGGGGUGCUCGAGUGGCGAACGGGUGAGUAACACGUGAGUAACCUGCCCUUGACUUUGGGAUAACUUCAGGAAACUGGGGCUAAUACCGGAUAGGAGCUCCUGCUGCAUGGUGGGGGUUGGAAAGUUUCGGCGGUUGGGGAUGGACUCGCGGCUUAUCAGCUUGUUGGUGGGGUAGUGGCUUACCAAGGCUUUGACGGGUAGCCGGCCUGAGAGGGUGACCGGCCACAUUGGGACUGAGAUACGGCCCAGACUCCUACGGGAGGCAGCAGUGGGGAAUAUUGCACAAUGGGCGGAAGCCUGAUGCAGCAACGCCGCGUGCGGGAUGACGGCCUUCGGGUUGUAAACCGCUUUCGCCUGUGACGAAGCGUGAGUGACGGUAAUGGGUAAAGAAGCACCGGCUAACUACGUGCCAGCAGCCGCGGUGAUACGUAGGGUGCGAGCGUUGUCCGGAUUUAUUGGGCGUAAAGGGCUCGUAGGUGGUUGAUCGCGUCGGAAGUGUAAUCUUGGGGCUUAACCCUGAGCGUGCUUUCGAUACGGGUUGACUUGAGGAAGGUAGGGGAGAAUGGAAUUCUUGGUGGAGCGGUGGAAUGCGCAGAUAUCAGGAGGAACACCAGUGGCGAAGGCGGUUCUCUGGGCCUUUCCUGACGCUGAGGAGCGAAAGCGUGGGGAGCGAACAGGCUUAGAUACCCUGGUAGUCCACGCUGUAAACGGUGGGUACUAGGUGUGGGGUCCAUUCCACGGGUUCCGUGCCGUAGCUAACGCUUUAAGUACCCCGCCUGGGGAGUACGGCCGCAAGGCUAAAACUCAAAGGAAUUGACGGGGCCCCGCACAAGCGGCGGAGCAUGCGGAUUAAUUCGAUGCAACGCGUAGAACCUUACCUGGGUUUGACAUGGAUCGGGAGUGCUCAGAGAUGGGUGUGCCUCUUUUGGGGUCGGUUCACAGGUGGUGCAUGGCUGUCGUCAGCUCGUGUCGUGAGAUGUUGGGUUAAGUCCCGCAACGAGCGCAACCCUUGUUCACUGUUGCCAGCACGUUAUGGUGGGGACUCAGUGGAGACCGCCGGGGUCAACUCGGAGGAAGGUGGGGAUGACGUCAAGUCAUCAUGCCCCUUAUGUCCAGGGCUUCACGCAUGCUACAAUGGCUGGUACAGAGAGUGGCGAGCCUGUGAGGGUGAGCGAAUCUCGGAAAGCCGGUCUCAGUUCGGAUUGGGGUCUGCAACUCGACCUCAUGAAGUCGGAGUCGCUAGUAAUCGCAGAUCAGCAACGCUGCGGUGAAUACGUUCCCGGG